AUGGCAACCUACGCCGUCCCGCUGCCUUGUGCCGUGCUGUUGCUCCCCUCUCCUAUCCCGCUACCACUUGCUGUACAUCUACUGCAUCCGGCAAACUUCUGCUGCUACAACGCCAGCAAUUCGUGCCGCGUUCAUCCUGCCUCUUCUUAUUAUUUUUGUCGCGGGGAUCCCCUGAUGUUUAACUGGCUGGGCAAUCGGACCAAGAUGAUCUCCUUUCUUCGAGGAUCCCUUAUCUUGGAGAUACAUCGUAUCCGUGGGAAGAUCUACCUUCGGCGGCUCAGUUGA
Molecule: ribosomal RNA, 285 nt
Filed under: Triticum aestivum (bread wheat)
Lineage: Eukaryota; Viridiplantae; Streptophyta; Magnoliopsida; Poales; Poaceae
Description: partial small subunit ribosomal RNA
Source: RNAcentral